AACGAACGCUGGCGGCAUGCCUAACACAUGCAAGUCGAACGAAGGCUUCGGCCUUAGUGGCGCACGGGUGCGUAACGCGUGGGAAUCUGCCCCUCGGUUCGGAAUAACAGUUAGAAAUGACUGCUAAUACCGGAUGAUGACUUCGGUCCAAAGAUUUAUCGCCGAGGGAUGAGCCCGCGUAAGAUUAGGUGGUUGGUGGGGUAAAGGCCUACCAAGCCGACGAUCUUUAGCUGGUCUGAGAGGAUGAUCAGCCACACUGGGACUGAGACACGGCACAGACUCCUACGGGAGGCAGCAGUGGUGAAUAUUGGACAAUGGGCGAAAGCCUGAUCCAGCAAUGCCGCGUGAGUGAUGAAGGCCUUAGGGUUGUAAAGCUCUUUUACCAGGGAUGAUAAUGACAGUACCUGGAGAAUAAGCUCCGGCUAACUCCGUGCCAGCCGCCGCAGUAA
This 449-nucleotide ribosomal RNA is filed under the name uncultured bacterium. Its description in RNAcentral is "partial 16S ribosomal RNA". It matches the Rfam family "Bacterial small subunit ribosomal RNA", at positions 29 to 523 of the family's 1533-position model. The record is from RNAcentral.